UAGGGUGACAAGGCUGGUUUGCCUAGGACUGAGGGGCUUUCUGGGAUGUAGGGCAUCCAGUGCCAAAGGCAG
This 72-nucleotide microRNA precursor is filed under the name Otolemur garnettii (small-eared galago). Its description in RNAcentral is "miRNA (ENSOGAG00000022576.1)". The record is from RNAcentral. Lineage: Eukaryota; Metazoa; Chordata; Mammalia; Primates; Galagidae.